This 221-nucleotide non-coding RNA is filed under the name Parageobacillus caldoxylosilyticus. RNAcentral's name for it is "Geobacillus caldoxylosilyticus T-box sequence". It matches the Rfam family "T-box leader". Rfam says of the family: Uncharged tRNA acts as the effector for transcription antitermination of genes in the T-box leader family. T-boxes are found upstream of many aminoacyl-tRNA synthetase genes and some amino acid biosynthetic genes usually in Gram-positive bacteria. Lineage: Bacteria; Bacillati; Bacillota; Bacilli; Caryophanales; Anoxybacillaceae. The record is from RNAcentral.
GUACUGACGAUGAAAGGGACAGUAGCUCUUUCACCGCUUAUUACAGCGAGCUGGGGAUGGUGGAAGCCCGGCAUAAGCGAAAGAGUGAAGAUCACCCUGGAGUUCCAUGCCGAACGGAAAAGAAGUAGGCCAUGGCGCGUCAUUCACGUUACGAAUGCAAAGUGGGCUAUGUGAUACAUAGUCAAUAAGGGUGGUACCGCGAGACCGUUCUCGUCCCUUUU